RNAcentral lists this ribosomal RNA (503 nucleotides) under uncultured bacterium. RNAcentral's name for it is "partial 16S ribosomal RNA". It matches the Rfam family "Bacterial small subunit ribosomal RNA", at positions 30 to 523 of the family's 1533-position model. The record is from RNAcentral.
AUUGAACGCUGGCGGCAGGCUUAACACAUGCAAGUCGAGCGGGGUGAUGGUGCUUGCACUAUCACUUAGCGGCGGACGGGUGAGUAAUGCUUAGGAAUCUGCCUAUUAGUGGGGGACAACAGCUCGAAAGGGAUGCUAAUACCGCAUACGUCCUACGGGAGAAAGCAGGGGAUCAAUUGUGACCUCGCGCUAAUAGAUGAGCCUAAGUCGGAUUAGCUAGUUGGUGGGGUAAAGGCCUACCAAGGCGACGAUCUGUAGCGGGUCUGAGAGGAUGAUCCGCCACACUGGGACUGAGACACGGCCCGGACUCCUACGGGAGGCAGCAGUGGGGAAUAUUGGACAAUGGGGGGAACCCUGAUCCAGCCAUGCCGCGUGUGUGAAGAAGGCCUUAUGGUUGUAAAGCACUUUAAGCGAGGAGGAGGCUCUUUUGGUUAAUACCCAAGAUGAGUGGACGUUACUCGCAGAAUAAGCACCGGCUAACUCUGUGCCAGCCGCCGCAGUAA